This 424-nucleotide ribosomal RNA is filed under the name uncultured Planctomycetota bacterium. RNAcentral describes it as "bacterial SSU rRNA". It matches the Rfam family "Bacterial small subunit ribosomal RNA", at positions 329 to 763 of the family's 1533-position model. The record is from RNAcentral. Lineage: Bacteria; Pseudomonadati; Planctomycetota.
UGCACCACUCCUACGGGUGGCUGCAGUCGAGAAUCUUCGUCAAUGGGGGAAACCCUGAACGAGCGACGCCGCGUGUGGGAUGAAGGCCUUUGGGUUGUAAACCACUGUCAGGGGGGAUGAAACCGCAAGGUUGACAGAGCCCCAGAGGAAGCACGGGCUAAGUUCGUGCCAGCAGCCGCGGUAAUACGAACUGUGCAAACGUUAUUCGGAAUCACUGGGCUUACAGGGUGCGUAGGUGGCCGGACAAGUCAGGUGUGAAAUCCCUCAGCUCAACUGAGGAACUGCGCUUGGAACUGUUUGGCUAGAGUGAGCUAGGGGUACUUGGAACUGCCAGUGGAGCGGUGAAAUGCGUUGAUAUUGGCAGGAACACCGGAGCCGAAAGGGAAGUACUGGGGCUUAACUGACACUGAGGCACGAAAGCCAA